This 515-nucleotide ribosomal RNA is filed under the name uncultured bacterium. RNAcentral describes it as "partial 16S ribosomal RNA". It matches the Rfam family "Bacterial small subunit ribosomal RNA", at positions 28 to 523 of the family's 1533-position model. The record is from RNAcentral.
GAUGAACGCUGGCGGCGUGCCUAAUACAUGCAAGUCGAGCGAAUGGAUUAAGAGCUUGCUCUUAUGAAGUUAGCGGCGGACGGGUGAGUAACACGUGGGUAACCUGCCCAUAAGACUGGGAUAACUCCGGGAAACCGGGGCUAAUACCGGAUAACAUUUUGAACCGCAUGGUUCGAAAUUGAAAGGCGGCUUCGGCUGUCACUUAUGGAUGGACCCGCGUCGCAUUAGCUAGUUGGUGGGGUAACGGCUCACCAAGGCAACGAUGCGUAGCCGACCUGCGAGGGGGAUCGGCCACAAGGGGACGGAGACACGGCCCAGACUCCUGCGGGAGGCAGCAGGAGAGACUCUUCCGCAAUGGACGAAAGUCUGACGGAGCAACGCCGCGUGAGUGAUGAAGGCUUUCGGGUCGUAAAACUCUGUUGUUAGGGAAGAACAAGUGCUAGUUGAAUAAGCUGGCACCUUGACGGUACCUAACCAGAAAGCCACGGCUAACUACGUGCCAGCCGCCGCAGUAA